RNAcentral lists this ribosomal RNA (460 nucleotides) under uncultured bacterium. RNAcentral describes it as "partial 16S ribosomal RNA". It matches the Rfam family "Bacterial small subunit ribosomal RNA", at positions 338 to 795 of the family's 1533-position model. The record is from RNAcentral.
CCUACGGGGGGCAGCAGGGAGGAAUAGUGGUCAAUGGGCGCGAGCCGGAACCAGCCAAGUAGCGGGAAGGAUGACUGCCCUACGGGGUGUAAACUUCUUUUAUAAAGGAAUAAAGUGAGGCACGUGUGCCUUUUUGUAUGUACUUUAUGAAUAAGGAUCGGCUAACUCCGUGCCAGCAGCCGCGGUAAUACGGAGGAUCCGAGCGUUAUCCGGAUUUAUUGGGUUUAAAGGGAGCGUAGAUGGGUUGUUAAGUCAGUUGUGAAAGUGUGCGGCUCAACCGUAAAAUUGCAAUUGAUACUGGCAGUCUUGAGUACAGUUGAGGUAGGCGGAAUUCGUGGUGUAGCGGUUAAAUGCUUAGUUAUCACGAAGAACUCCGAUUGCGAAGGCGGCUUACUAGACUGCAACUUACGUUGAUGCUCGAAAGUGUGGGUAUCAAACAGGAUUAGAUACCCCAGUAGUA